This is an RNA transcript of Papilio polytes (common Mormon), 843 nucleotides long. It is a transcript of the gene named anaphase-promoting complex subunit 13, with no coding region annotated. NCBI's taxonomy places the organism in Eukaryota, Metazoa, Arthropoda, Insecta, Lepidoptera, Papilionidae. The record is from RefSeq and is a predicted model, not a curated record. The transcript has 3 exons.
UGACAUACUAUCAUACUAUUCAAAUUGCACGUUGGAUUUUUAUUGUAUUUGUUUAUGCUGAACACAACACAAUUUUAUAGGAUUCAGCAAUUUCUAAAAGCAAUUAACAGGCAGCAUGGACAGUAAGUACCGUCGCGUUGGCCGCCUCAUCGACAUAGUGGAUGAGGAGUGGCGCAUGGAGCAGCUCCCCCACAUGGACAUCCGCGUGCCCGUGGAGGAGCUGCCCGAUCCUGAGGCGGACAGCGUCGACUCUCACCUCACCUUGAAGGAGCAGGCCAUGCGCUGGCAAGAAAACUUCCCAGAGUCCGCCAGCAGUAAGCAAAACUAGGAACAAAUUAAUAUUAGGGAGCAACUACCUAAAUACCUUAACGGACAAGCAAAAUUAUUGACAACAAGAUGUAUUAUAAUAGAAACAGAAAAAAUAUCCAAAAAAACACAUGGUGCCCUUACUAUAUUAAAGCAAUUUGGUAUCCAUGAGUGUGGCCAUAAAGAGCCAGUGAUGGGGUCUCAAUGCAUUUUGUCUAUGGUUGGUAAAAAAAAUGAAAAGCAUUAUAUACUGGCAUCACAAGACAGAGAUUUACAAGAUAAAAUGAGAGCUAAAGCUGGAGUUCCAUUGUUAUAUUUACAUAAUAAAUCGCCAACAUUAGAAAAACCUAGUAAAGCUAGCUACAAUAAAGUUGGCCAGACUCUAGAGUCUAAUUUUACUUUUAUCACUCCAACACAAAAUGAAUCUUUGAAGAUUAUGAAAAAAGUACUAGGAGUAGAAGAAAAAGAUGAUACAAAAAAAGUUGUUAUAAAAAAGAAAAAGCCACACAACCCUAAUCCUUUAUCAUGUAAAAAGAA